AUUGAACGCUGGCGGCAGGCCUAACACAUGCAAGUCGAGCGAGAGGCGGACGGGUGAGCAAUGUAUGGGGACUGCCCGAUAGAGGGGGAUAACUACUGGAAACGGUGGCUAAUACCGUAUACUUUCGGCUAACCCAUGUGGCAUUAGCUAGUUGGUGGGGUAAAGGCUCACCUAGGCGACGAUCUCUAGCUGGUCUGAGAGGAUGAUCAGCCACACGGGGACUGAGACACGGCCCAGACGCCUACGGAGGCAGCAGUGGGGAAUAGUGCACAAUGGGCGCAAGCCUGAUGCAGCCAUGCCGCGUGUAUGAAGAAGGCCUUAGGGUUGUAAAGUACUUGUAGCGGGGAGGCGUUACCAGCAGAAGAAGCACCGGCUAACUCCGUGCCAGCAGCCGCGGUAAUUC
This 403-nucleotide ribosomal RNA is filed under the name uncultured bacterium. RNAcentral describes it as "partial 16S ribosomal RNA". It matches the Rfam family "Bacterial small subunit ribosomal RNA", at positions 30 to 526 of the family's 1533-position model. The record is from RNAcentral.